GCCCGGCUAGCUCAGUCAGUAGAGCAUGAGACUCUUAAUCUCAGGGUCGUGGGUUCNUGCCCACCGUUGGGUG
RNAcentral lists this transfer RNA (73 nucleotides) under Neotoma lepida (desert woodrat). It matches the Rfam family "tRNA". From Rfam's summary of the family: Transfer RNA (tRNA) molecules are approximately 80 nucleotides in length. Lineage: Eukaryota; Metazoa; Chordata; Mammalia; Rodentia; Cricetidae. The record is from Rfam by way of RNAcentral.